ACGGAGGGUGCAAGCGUUAUUCGGAAUUACUGGGCGUAAAGGGCGUGCAGGCGGGAGAGCAAGUCUGAGGUGAAAGCCCGGGGCUUAACCCCGGAAGGGCAUUUGAAACUGCUUUUCUUGAGUUUUGGUGAGGAAGGGGGAAUUCCCAGUGUAGCGGUGAAAUGCGUAGAGAUCGGGCGGAACACCAGUGGCGAAGGCGCCCUUCUGGACAGCAACUGACGCUGAGGCGCGAAAGCGUGGGGAGCGAACAG
RNAcentral lists this ribosomal RNA (251 nucleotides) under uncultured prokaryote. RNAcentral's name for it is "partial 16S rRNA". It matches the Rfam family "Bacterial small subunit ribosomal RNA", at positions 525 to 775 of the family's 1533-position model. The record is from RNAcentral.